RNAcentral lists this ribosomal RNA (433 nucleotides) under uncultured bacterium. RNAcentral describes it as "partial 16S ribosomal RNA". It matches the Rfam family "Bacterial small subunit ribosomal RNA", at positions 29 to 507 of the family's 1533-position model. The record is from RNAcentral.
AACGAACGCUGGCGGCAUGCCUAACACAUGCAAGUCGAACGAAACCUUCGGGUCUAGUUGCUCACUGGUGCGUAACGCGUCGGAACCUUCCCUUAGGUUCGGACUAACUCCCCUAAAGGGGUGCUCAUACCGGAUAAUCUCUUCGUACUACCGAUUUAUUGCCUGUGGCUGGGCCCGCGUUGGAUUAGCUCGUUGGUAGUGUAAGCGCAUACUCAGGCGACGAUCCGUAGCUGGUCUGAGAGGAGGAUCAGCAACACUGGGACAGGGACACGGCCCAGAUUCCUAGGGGAAGGAGCAGGGGGGAAUAGGGGACAAGGGGCGAAAGACUGAGGCAGCAAGGCCGCGUGAGUGAGGAAGGCGGUAGGGUAGGAAAGAGCGUGUACAAGGGAUGAUAAUGACAGUACCGGGAGAAUAAGCCACGGCUAACUACGUG